RNAcentral lists this ribosomal RNA (631 nucleotides) under Frigoribacterium sp. Its description in RNAcentral is "bacterial SSU rRNA". It matches the Rfam family "Bacterial small subunit ribosomal RNA", at positions 217 to 858 of the family's 1533-position model. Lineage: Bacteria; Bacillati; Actinomycetota; Actinomycetes; Micrococcales; Microbacteriaceae. The record is from RNAcentral.
GGUCAAGGAUGGACUCGCGGCCUAUCAGCUAGUUGGUGAGGUAAUGGCUCACCAAGGCGACGACGGGUAGCCGGCCUGAGAGGGUGACCGGCCACACUGGGACUGAGACACGGCCCAGACUCCUACGGGAGGCAGCAGUGGGGAAUAUUGCACAAUGGGCGAAAGCCUGAUGCAGCAACGCCGCGUGAGGGAUGACGGCCUUCGGGUUGUAAACCUCUUUUAGUAGGGAAGAAGCGAAAGUGACGGUACCUGCAGAAAAAGCACCGGCUAACUACGUGCCAGCAGCCGCGGUAAUACGUAGGGUGCAAGCGUUGUCCGGAAUUAUUGGGCGUAAAGAGCUCGUAGGCGGUUUGUCGCGUCUGCUGUGAAAUCUGGGGGCUCAACCCCCAGCCUGCAGUGGGUACGGGCAGACUAGAGUGCGGUAGGGGAGAUUGGAAUUCCUGGUGUAGCGGUGGAAUGCGCAGAUAUCAGGAGGAACACCGAUGGCGAAGGCAGAUCUCUGGGCCGUAACUGACGCUGAGGAGCGAAAGCGUGGGGAGCGAACAGGAUUAGAUACCCUGGUAGUCCACGCCGUAAACGUUGGGAACUAGGUGUGGGGGCCAUUCCACGAUCUCCGUGUCGCAGCUAACGC